RNAcentral lists this ribosomal RNA (468 nucleotides) under uncultured bacterium. Its description in RNAcentral is "partial 16S ribosomal RNA". It matches the Rfam family "Bacterial small subunit ribosomal RNA", at positions 28 to 507 of the family's 1533-position model. The record is from RNAcentral.
GACGAACGCUGGCGGCGUGCUUAACACAUGCAAGUCGAACGGAAAGGCCCUGCUUUUGUGGGGUGCUCGAGUGGCGAACGGGUGAGUAACCCGUGAGUAACCUGCCCUUGACUUUGGGAUAACUUCAGGAAACUGGUGCUACUCCCGGAUUGGCGCUCCUGCUGCUUGGUGUGGGUUGUUAAGUUUCGGCGUUUGGGGAUGGACUCGCGGCUUAUCAGCUUGUUUGUUGGGUAGUGGCUUACCAAGGCUUUGACGGGUAGCCGGACUGAGAGGGUGACAGGAGAAAAUGGGACUGAGAUACGGCCCAGAAGGCUACGGGAGGCAGCAGUGGGGAAUAUUGAACAAUGGGCGGAAGCAUGAUGCAGCAACGCCGCGUGCGGGAUGACGGCCGUCGGGUUGUAAACCGAUUUCGCCUGUGACGAAGCGUGAGUGACGGUAAUGGGUAAAGAAGCACCGGCUAACUACGUG